Molecule: ribosomal RNA, 137 nt
Filed under: uncultured Craterellus
Lineage: Eukaryota; Fungi; Basidiomycota; Agaricomycetes; Cantharellales; Hydnaceae
Description: partial 28S ribosomal RNA
Source: RNAcentral
AUGACCUCAAAUCAGAUGAGACUACCCGCUGAACUUAAGCAUAUCGGAAGAGCUCAGUUUUGAAAUCUGGCAGUCAUUCACUGUCCGAGUUGUAAAUUGAAGAAAGUGUCAUCCACACUGGACCAUGUCUAAAUCGU